GCUGACCAAGGCGGACAAGUGCGUUGACAGAGGUGACUCUGCUACUUCUCAGCUGGCUGGCCAGUUGGGGGUUAAUGUUUUUCAGAAUCAUUUUUAGGAUUUCUUCUUCCUCAAUUUGUGGUUUCCAGCGUUUGCACAGUGACUGGUACAUGUAGGCAAAAUCUCGGAUGCUUUCACCAUCCCCUUGAACUCUGUUGCGCACCCUCUCUGCCAGUUCAUCCUCAUAGUCCUCUGACAGGAAGGCAGCACGGAACUGGUGUUGAAAUUCCUUCCAUGUGUGGAUUUUAUGGCGGCCCACAUCCCACCAAUCUCGUGCAGUUCCAUGAAGUACAUUACGCAGGGUGGCAAGGAGUUCCUCAUCUGUGAGCGGUGUGAGAGCAAGGAAAUCGUCACACCUUUCCAGGUAUUGGAGCGGGUCAGGUGCAUCAUUCAGUCCCCCAAAUGUCGGAAAUUGUAGCUUUACAGGGCUCUUACCCAUGACUCUGUUUUUUACCUCUCCGUGAAUGGUGGAUCCACCUGGUGACCCAAAAUUGACAUCGGCCAUGCCAGGAUGUACGGUGGAUUGCAAUCUGGGGCGUUGUGAAAUGAGCAGGGGCUUUUCCCCUUGUAGACCCUCAGAGGAGGAUUGCCCACUUGCAGGGGUAAUGGUGGUGGUAACUUUGGAUGCUGUCAAUUCCUCAGACAGUGAAUGUAUGGUGUUUCUGCAGUGGGACAGCCCCUCCUGCAGAUGGGCUACUGCACCAGACAUCGGGGUGAGAACGGAGAAAAGAUCCUUCAGCAGUUCCUGCCGGUGGUGACGGUGUUCCUCCACAAUUUCCUGAAGGUGUUGCCUAAUCCCAUCGCCAGGAUAUGUCUCCUUUAAGGCGGAAGUUUCAGGCUGAGGUCCUCCAUGACACUCGUCUGUUUGGACGGCUCUUUGUGGAGCUAAGGGCUGAGCAAGCUCAGAAAAAAAAGUGAGGUCCAUGUCCAACAGAGAAUAUGUUGUAGGAGGUAACUCCUCUGCAGGCAUGCCCUUGGCCAUUUCCAGUGGUGACUCUGCUGAUCCUCCUUCCAUUUUACUCCACCAUGACUCUGAGUCAGCGGCCAUUUUGUUUGGAUUUUUGUACCAGAAAAUAAAAAAGGUUGUAUCUUCA
Perca fluviatilis (European perch) is the source of this 1133-nucleotide long non-coding RNA. RefSeq lists it as uncharacterized. The transcript has 2 exons. Lineage: Eukaryota; Metazoa; Chordata; Actinopteri; Perciformes; Percidae. The record is from RefSeq and is a predicted model, not a curated record.